RNAcentral lists this long non-coding RNA (257 nucleotides) under Bos taurus (domestic cattle). RNAcentral describes it as "long non-coding RNA NONBTAT011927". The record is from RNAcentral. Lineage: Eukaryota; Metazoa; Chordata; Mammalia; Artiodactyla; Bovidae.
UCUCCCGAGUCAGAGAGCUCUAGCAUGCAAGGUUACUUGGCUAGUUCCUAAUGCACUGAUGGGAGCCAUCCCAUUAAGGACGACUUCUACUCGAAACAUGACCCUCUGGACUUCAGGUGCCUCAUUUAUCAGGAAAAGGCAUUGAUUGGAUAUAUUUAUGUGACUGCGGGCAUUUGUGGCUGUCGAGUCCUUGACCAUAAUGUUAUAUGUAAUGGGAACUAUCUUAUAAACUUGAAAAAAUAAAGUUUUUAUUUUCU